AUUGAACGCUGGCGGCAGGCCUAACACAUGCAAGUCGAGCGGAUGAAGGGAGCUUGCUCCUGGAUUCAGCGGCGGACGGGUGAGUAAUGCCUAGGAAUCUGCCUGGUAGUGGGGGAUAACGUCCGGAAACGGGCGCUAAUACCGCAUACGUCCUGAGGGAGAAAGUGGGGGAUCUUCGGACCUCACGCUAUCAGAUGAGCCUAGGUCGGAUUAGCUAGUUGGUGGGGUAAAGGCCUACCAAGGCGCCGAUCCGUAACUGGUCUGAGAGGAUGAUCAGUCACACUGGAACUGAGACACGGUCCAGACUCCUACCGGAGGCAGCAGUGGGGAAUAUUGGACAAUGGGCGAAAGCCUGAUCCAGCCAUGCCGCGUGUGUGAAGAAGGUCUUCGGAUUGUAAAGCUCUUUAAGUUGGGAGGAAGGGCAGUAAGUUAAUACCUUGCUGUUUUGACGUUACCAACAGAAUAAGCACCGGCUAACUUCGUG
This 484-nucleotide ribosomal RNA is filed under the name uncultured bacterium. RNAcentral describes it as "partial 16S ribosomal RNA". It matches the Rfam family "Bacterial small subunit ribosomal RNA", at positions 30 to 507 of the family's 1533-position model. The record is from RNAcentral.